AUUUUAUGUGGAGUGUAAUGGGUUUAAUUCGUAUUUACACUUCUAUAUAUCUGGUUGUUGCUAAUUGAAGAACAAACACCUGUCAUAGGAGGUAAUUAAUUUGGUAUCAAGACAUAAGUACACCUGGACUGGAUUUCCAUUAAACCUGUGCAAUUUAUGGUAUUGAGGAAGCCAUUCUGUAACUGGUACGGCUAAAAUGAAUUAUUAUUUGACAUAUUUUCACAUGUGAUUACUGGAUAUGUCAAAGUUGGGCAAUAUAUUUAUCAAAGGCAUUAAGUAUUAUAAUCAACAAUACUUGUAAAAUUGUCAUACUCAGAAAUGGCAUUUUUAAUAAUGGAUCAUGUAUACAUUAUUCAUUCAUACGGUACUUCUGGGUAACUUGAAGUUUUCGUUUAUAAACAGCUAACAUUCAUACAACUUUUCAGAUGUACAAUUUUCCUCAAUUAUUUCAGCGCUGAGAUUUCAUUCAUACAAGAAAUUUAAUACAUGUGUAUUUACAGGGAAUAGAGAGCUUGACAGUAUUUGUCGAUUGGCCACCUGGAGAACGGUAUAAACCAACGGCUCAUCUAAACAGAAGUAUACUCCAUUUCGUCCUCAACCUAAACACUCGCAGCGGUGUACUGCACAAUCAUGGGUUCAUCUAGGGUGAGGUUCUCCAGGUUAUGUGAAAGGGACCUCCAGGUUAGUCAUAGUUCGGGUAAAAGGACCACUCUGAUGUGCAAGCAGAGGAACGGUGGUGUCCACCUGAGGCACACUAUUUCAGUGCAACAGGGAGCGGCAUCUACCAGCUUUGGCAGAAUGAAAAACUCCGCUUCUUGUUUAAUUUCAUUCAGGACCUGCAAGUCAUUUGGUAGGUAUCCUGCAGGCAUUUGUCUGUCAUACCGUAAAUAGUUCAGGAUGAACUUAAAAUGGGAUGGAUCACGGUCAAUGAUAAUCUUGGAGUCUCCGUCAGUAGCUAGUCCGCAAGGAGGUAGUGGUACUGUGGCAGUUUCAGUCGGUAGUGCAGGCAUAGAGAGUGUUGGCUUCUUCUGAUUUAUGGUCGGCUUAUACGGAUGGUAAUGUGGAUUGGCAGGAUGUUUGUUAUGACUGGAACCAAGUACAGUUUCUCUUAUUGGAGAUAGAGGUUUCUUAGAGGUGUGAGAGGACAUACAUGGAAUGGUUGUUCCUGGAUGUUACUGAUAGAGUACUAUUUUGAUGGCAGUCACAGGGAUAUAUGGUAAUAGGUUUACCCAUUACAAGAUCUAUGGGGAGGUUGAUUUGUCUGCCAAACAUUAUGGCACAAGGAGAUACACCAGUACUCUCAUGGACGCUUGACCUGUACGCUAACAUAAGUAAAGGUUGUAAUGGCGGUCUAGAGUCUGGUGGGAGAAUUUCAUACUUGGAUCUCUUCAGUAUGCUAACAUUAGAACCAGUAUCAAGUAAUGCGGACCAUAACGUUGUGUUAGUAGGUCUACUAACAGUUUGUAGUCAUAGUGGUCUCUGAAAUCAAGUUCUGUCAACAUGGAACGGGCAUCUCCUUUUAGACAACUAGCAAGGCAUAAUCCUUUGGAUCUUAAAUUCCAGUUAUUCAAGUCACUACAAAUUUGGAAAGAUAUUAGAAAUUCAUUCAAGUCGUCUGUACCGUCAAAAGUUGGCCGGUCCAGAAUGCAGUCAGCAAAAGGCAUUCAAAUAAGGCUGUAAUGGUAGAUCCAAUCAACAAUUUUACUUGUUUGAUUGAAUGGUCAGCACCUGGAAGAACUAUGGAAUAUCAGUAACUGAAGAUGUUGCUAAAACAGCAUAAUGAAAUGAAUUGUAAAAUAAUCAAUAAAAUAUUUUGUGUCACUGUC
Mercenaria mercenaria is the source of this 1826-nucleotide RNA transcript. RefSeq lists it as uncharacterized. NCBI's taxonomy places the organism in Eukaryota, Metazoa, Mollusca, Bivalvia, Venerida, Veneridae. The record is from RefSeq and is a predicted model, not a curated record. The transcript is spliced from 9 exons.